GCCCGUGGGCGCGUGGGAAACGUCCAGUGCGCUUCUUUAUCAUGGCGGACGCUAAGUCAGGGCCGCAGGCGGGUGAGGGUUUGGCCACUGCCGCUGCUCUCCGACGCUGCAGGGCAGGAGCGGUCGAGCGCCGCUGGGAGAGCGAACGAGGCGGAGAACACACUAGGAUGAGAAGGCGGCAGCUGCAGCAGAAGUAUGUUCUAGAAGCUAGUAUCUGCAACUGAAGAGCCAGAUGUCCUGUGUAAACCCGUUGUUUUUCCCACAGCAGAGGCUGAAGCACCCCAUACAUCUGAAGCCAGGUUGCCCUUAGGUCCUGUGACUGUGCUGGGGACAGGGCAGCUGUUGCUACUGUUACUGGGAUAACCUUUCUGCACUUGGACAUUCACCCUUAAAGUCCUGAGCUGCCAUGUAAGAAGUCCAUUACCCUGCAGUUGCCAUGCUGUGAGAAGGCCGAGGCCUAAGGUUGUAAGAAGCCUACAACUUUUGCCUUGGUCUUGAGCCCUCAGCAACCAUGUAAAAAGUCUGACCACACCUGCUAGAGAGACCAGAUGAAGAGGCCCUGAGAUGACAUGGGGAGAGAGAGAGAAACCCAGCUGAACCCAGCUUUCCAGUUAUCCCCACCAAGGUGCCAGGUAUGAAGGAAGCCAUCCUGAACCCUCCAGACCAACUUAUCCAACCAGCUGGAUACCACUGAGUGACCCCAGUAGAUGCCAUAUGGAGCAGAAGAAUUGUCCACAGAAACUAAGUACUGGAUCUGUACCCCGCAGGAGGAUGUGUGGUGGGUUGAGUUGGUGGUGGAUGGCUGGUUUGCACCAUGAAGUCACUUUGAUUUCACCUUUGACAGCUGCAGACUUCCACAUGCUGAUUGCUUGCUUCAUUUUAUCAGUGUUUUACAGAAAGGGGUGUAUUUAUGAAAUGAUAAGACUAUUAAACUCUCAGUGGCUUCAUCCCAGCAGAGAGCAGGAAUGCUGCUUGCCGUGUGAACUCUGCGGCCUCAGUUUCCUCAUUUGUGGUGACAGCUCCCUCAUAAGAUCUUUGUGAAGAUUUGAAGAGACACCAUAGGCAUGAGUAUUAUGUCCAACAUGUUUAUUGUACUUUCCUCCUUAACUUUCCACUCUGUACCUUUUGGGCCUCUUGAGUUCUCAUCUGUGAACCUACAUGCAAUAAUAGUAGGACUGACUUCCAAGGGGUUGUGAGGAAUGGGUGUGAGAAUUCAAGUGAAGCACCAAGGAGACUGCCUGACACAGAGUAGGGACACCAUAAGCAGUGGCUGUUAUUAAUAUUACUAUAUGAACGUAGUGAGGUGAAACUAUAGUUUCCUUUCACUGAGAGAAACUGUUGAUAGAAAUCAAAGAGCUAGUCCAAAGAGCCACCAACAUAAGGCAGGUAAGCAGGAUCUUGCUGAAGGUUUGGGACAGUGGGGAGAAUUCAUUCCAGCACAGUAGUCAUCAUGAAAGAGAAUCUCAGAACUGUGUGCCUGUUAUGCCCCAACUUUUAUACAAAAACAACACAAAUAUAUAUGUUUGUGUUUGUAUAAAAGUAGAUUUGGAAGGACACACACCAGACUGGAUGGGGAGCUGGGGAACUUUCACUUUUACUUUUGCCUCUUCUGUGUUUGAAAGCUGUUUCUUUUUAAUUGAGCAUGUGCUACACUAAACAAUGUUAAAAGAAAUUAUUUUUUUAAAAGGUCAGCCAAUAAAAAAUUAACCAAUCGGCAACUUACACCAAAGAAUAUCAGGACAAUUUCUCUCAAAUUUCUCUUCCAUUCAGCUUCCUGCCUGGCAUUUGGGCUCCCUCACCUCCUUGGUGCAGUGAGGAGCUUCCAUUCUCCAAAGUUUCUGAGUUAUCUUUAUGCAGAGAAUUUGAGCUACUACUCUUCCUUUAGACCCAGGCCAUCUCAGCUGGGUCCAGAGAGCCUCACUCACCUCCCUAAGCACGUAUCCCUGCAGGUGUAUUCCUAAUGCAAAGACACUUCCUGUUCUGAGAAGAAUUAUUUGGUUAGCACAUAAAGGGAUUAUUCUCCCCCGCCCCUGUAGCUCAAGUCUACUGACUUUAAUUAAAUUCUCUGUGAAGAGACUAGGAAGGAGGGUUUAGGUAAUGCACCCACAAGGAUGCUCAGAGAGUUUGAAGAGAAGCGUUUGGUGCAGUUAUGAUGGUAUUCUAUGGCACAGCACUUACAGUGCACCAGGCACUCUUUUAAAGACUUUGCAAAUGUUCCUUCAUUUAAUUCUCACCACAGUCCUAUGAGAGACUUCCUGUUAAUAUCUCCAUUUUACUGAUAAAGAAGCUGAAGCGCACAGCAAGGUUAACUACCUUGCCCAAGUUCACACAGGUAGUGAGGAAAGGGCCCCAGAGGUUCAGGAAUGCCCAAAUCAUGUUCCUCUUCUUCUUAUCCAGGCACCCAACCCCUCCACAGGCAACCUGACUGGCCACCUUUACACAAAGUACAGUAUUCAGAUUGGAAUCUAAAUAUAGCACAGUGCCUGACUCCCAAAAGCUGGAUUAAGGAGCAUGGCUUAGUUGGUACAGUAGAGCAAAAUGUCCUGCAUGUUGAAACUAGAUUUGUGGUUAUCUUUCUCUUCAUCAAGAAGUCAUUGAGAGUUGUUAUAUCCCCCAUAAAAGGAGAAUUUAGGGUAGCCAAAUAAAAAAGGGGGUGAUGUAGUCUCAUUACAGAAAAAGAGAGUACGGUUAGUCUUUUUGUAGUUGAGUACCUCAAGAUGUGGUAUUCAGCCAGGGUGAAGGUAAAGUGGUUGGGGAUGUGGAUCUGAAGGUUUACAGAAGCCUGUAUCCAUUUGAGACUCAAUUUUGCCAUUGGUCUUCAGCCGGAGAAGUGUCUGCAUCUGCUGGGAAGAAAAAGUGUUGCUGUGAUCAGUAAUUGCCCCAGUUGUCAAAGGUGCACCAGGUCCAGAAGGCUCAGUAUUUUGGAGGCAAACCUUCCCAGGCAGUUUGCUUCACUGAAGUUAGAACCUCUUCCAUUUCUAUACUUCAGAAAUGAUGCCUGAGAAUUUUCAGGUCACCAUGAUACAUGUUUCCCCAGCAUCACCCUCUGCACACUGAAGAAAUAGGGAAUCAGGAGACAUCUAAUAGAGAGGGGCUGGGAGUUCUUUCUGCAUUUCAGCUGUUUCCAGCUGGUGGGGAAGUGCUCAAGUAUCUGUGGUCAGGUAGAUCAGUCAUACUUCAAAUCAGGGAGGGAAGAGAAUGGACUCUCCUAUACCGGUUAGCAGUAGUCCAGGCAAGAGGUUGUUGUGGCUUACACGAGGCUGGUGGCGAGGGAGAUGGAAAGAGGUGGAUAGAUGCAAGAAAUAUUUUGGAGGUAGAAUUAUGGGACUUGCUGACACGGAUGGUGAAGGAGAGUUCAGAGAUAAUACUCAUCUUAAGAUUUGGUUGAACAGCUGGUAAAUGAUAAUGUCAUUCGCUGAAAGGAAACCGAAGGAAGAAGAGAUUUUCAAGAGCUCUUUUGACUCUGUUCAGUUUGAGUUGCCUACUAUAAUUCUAAGUGAACAUGUUGAGUAGACAAUGGGUUGUAUGAGUCUGGAGUUCAUAGAAAAGGUCAGAGUUGAACAUGUAAAUGUGAGAAAUGAUAUGAAAUACUAUGGAAAAUGGAUAAUAAAACAUGUAGAACUGAACGAUCAUGAAAAAUCUGCUUUUCGUCCAAGCUUGUCAAAUGCAACUCUAGCAGAACUGAAAGGCAAAUUUAAGGCCAAAGUGCAUAUAUUUAAGCGAAAAAAGACUAAAAAUAUAUACAGUAAAUGUUCAAUAUGAUAAUUUAGGUAAGGUAGAAGGAGGAUCUAAUGAAUAGUAGAAAUUAAUGAAAUAGAAAGCAAAUCAUAGAAAAAUGAGCUAAACCAAAAGUAAAUUUGUGUGAAAGACUGAUUAAAAAAAAUCUAGAAAAAUUGACCCAGAAUAAAAAGAGACACACAAAUAAAAAAUAUUU
This is a long non-coding RNA of Lemur catta (Ring-tailed lemur), 3934 nucleotides long. RefSeq lists it as uncharacterized. Lineage: Eukaryota; Metazoa; Chordata; Mammalia; Primates; Lemuridae. The transcript is spliced from 6 exons. The record is from RefSeq and is a predicted model, not a curated record.